Molecule: long non-coding RNA, 5643 nt
Filed under: Gadus morhua (Atlantic cod)
Lineage: Eukaryota; Metazoa; Chordata; Actinopteri; Gadiformes; Gadidae
Description: lncRNA (ENSGMOG00000030220.1)
Source: RNAcentral
GUCAGGCUCAACAGAAGGCACACAGGUUGCAUUCAACUAAAGCGACAAGUGACGGUAACUUUCGUGGUCUCCUCGUGAUCAGUGCGGUCCGGGAGACUGAACCCAGUACCAGUGCUUCAUCUGUGCCGUUACCAUGGCAAUGGAGGCAGAUUCUCUGAGCUCCCCCGGGAGCCCGGUGUCCCGGGAUGACCCGGGCCUGUGGAUGACGCUGGACCUCCACCCUGACCCUCGACCCCCCCGUCCGACCUCCGCCCAGACACAUGGAUCGGACCUGGGGGCCGGUGCUGCCUCUGGCGUCGCCGGUGUAGAGGCUCAGGUCUACGUCUUCCUGCCUCCUCCACGACGGUGCACUGCACCACCACCACCACCAGGAGAAGCUACGCCACCGACUCACACCCCUGCCCAUGAUCCUUGCGUGAGCUGUCCCGCUGGAGGGACAGGUGAGGUCACGCAGGCUAAGGGAAAUCCUGCCGGCUUAGGGAGGCGCCCUGCCGAGAGACAGACGGUGGCUGAGCACAGCGAGGUCACGGACGAGGAAACAGGCAGCGAGAGAGAGAGGAACCGGGACCCAGAAGAUCAACAGCAGCCAGGGGAUAUGGAAACCGAAACCGCCUGUGAAGAGAAGGACGCCAAUACGGCACAACACAUUGAAAGCCUGAUUAUGGCGGGCGGAGUCGAAACCCUGGCGCAAACGAGCAGCGAUGCAUCAGAGCAACCGCGCAGUCCCGACACGUCGAAGGACCCUGAAGAGGGAUCUGUGAGCCAUUCUGGUCGGAUGGGGGUAACUAUCUCCACUGAGGAAUACAAGGCCUCGACCUCCCCCCCUUCAGACCUGGAGGACGGUCGAGAGGUAGAGGAGUGCGGCACCCUGUUACCUUCAGGGCAGAACAAAUCUCUUCCCCCGGAGAUUACAUCUCCGGGGGAAAGUGAGGACACCUCUUCUGUCUCUGCUGGCACAAACGCUCUCAGCCCAACAAAUGGGGGACUUGACUGCCUUGCUUCAGAUGUGACAGACCUAACAGACAUUGAGUCCGCUCAGGAAGACAACCGUCACCCAGAAAACAUCAUGGAGGUACCAGAUAUUGUCGAACCGCUGGACAGUGACACGGUGAAGGAACAGUUGGGAGUCAGGAGGCAGAGUGACAACCUGCCAUCCCUUUCCACCCACCUCGCUGUCGAGUCCUCCGCCGACCAACACACUGAGCUCCUGCUCCCCACGCCGGAACCUGGCCGUCGACAGAGUCAGAGCGACGGGAGCGAGGCCAUCUCCUACGUGAUCCAGCAGGGGGAACUGCUGCUUCAGCGGCUGCAGUACGUCCAGGACAGACAGGACACGCAGCCACCCACCACACCGCCCGCCGGGGUCUCAGCCAAUCAGACGGCUGAUGAAGGAGAGGAAGGGGAGCUGGAGAGCGGUGCAGCGUGGAGUGAGGGGGAGAGUUUGGGAGCGGGGGAGGAGGGCGGGGCUUAUGAAGUCGAACUAAGGGUGGAGCACAGAUCAACCCUGGUGGGAGAGGAUGAAGAGUGUGGACGGACCGAGGGACAGGGAGAGAUCGAAAGGACUGAAGAGGGUGUUAUCAAAGAGGGGUUGGUAGCGAUACCGGUGGAUCCCACCCUAGCCCCCCGCCCUCACCUCGGGGUCCCACGGUUAGAGAACAUCCCAAGCGAUCAUCAGAGUGACACCGGGGUCUCGGCGGACGUCUCCCCGACGCAUGCGCAGGAGGCACCGACCCUCACCGAGACCCCCGUUGUGGAGAUCAACCCCGAUGUGCUGGAGAUUCCCUUCAAGACCCCUAUCCUCCUCAAAGAGCUGCAGGGCGGAGAAACCGGCACGGCCAGGUGCCUGACCCGGCAGCUCUCGGAGAAGAAGAUGCAGAAGGAGAUCAGCCAGGAGCGGCAGAGGGAGCUGGUGCUGGUCAACCAGGGCACCAUCCCCGGGGAGUACCGCAAGGAGGGGACCCGGCAACUGAAGGAGACCAAGAAGCUCUUCGAGGGCCUCCUGCAGGGCUCCGCCGAGGGGGCGGUCAGGCUCAGUAAAACCACCUUCACAGACCCCGUCUACCCCUCGGUUCUGGAGCGCACCCGCAGCAUGGAGAUGCUGUCUCUGCGGGGCCAGCCGGUCUGCCGGACCCAGUCCCUCAGGGUACCCCGAUCCGAGGCCACCAACGGGGGGUGGAGGAGGGAGAGGUGCCGGUCCCGGAGCCCUGUCGCAGGGCCCUACCACAGGCUCGAGCACAAUCUGCGCCAUCACAGGAGCAUGGACUCUCUGAGCGUUGAGGCCCUGGCGUCCAAGCAGGGGAGCCGGAACACGGCUAAAAAGCUGCAGCCCUUUCUGGGGGCGAACCCGUUCGUCAAGCUGCGGCCUGCGCUGGCCCGCCAGCCGGAGGUCCAGAAGGACAUCCAGGAGUCCAGGGAGCGAGAGGAGGAGCUGCGCAGACAGAGGUGUGCCCUGUACGGAGAGAGCAUGGAGCCCCAGGAGGACGAGGACCCAGCAGCACCCACAGACAGCAGCACAGCAGCAGAUCCCAGGCAGCAGUCCAAGGGGAAAUUGGACCGGAUUUGGCCGCCACCGCCCAGGGCAGGCGGGCCGAGCUCUGGCCAGACACAGGGGCCCCGGGCUUCCAGACCGGGGGGUCAUGUGACCGGGCUGUCCCAGCGCUGGGAAGCGGCCAGUCGCCCCAGUACAGACCAGUCGUAAUCAUUGACCAGAUGACCUUUGACCUCUGAAAGGACCACGGCAACCUUGCUGCACCGACCGAUGUGGACGACCUGAUUUCUGAAACACAUCAAACUCUGUUGUCAUGACGAUGCGUUCCGUAAUGUCAACGGUGUUGUCAUGGCGUUCCUGUUCCAUUCCGUUCUCUUGAGUAGCUUUGUUCAUCUUAUUUUGCUCUCAACUGUGUUCUCUAGAUCCCAUUCAGACAGGCUUUGGAUUAACUGUAUACUCAUAAAGUUUGUAUAAAUCCCUAUUUUAUAGCUCAAAUUGACAUGCAAGUAAAGAAAUAUCAUGAGUACAUCUGGAAUCUUUUCUUCUCAUUUCCUUGUUCAACGUUGGGUAAAUCACAUGGUCAGAUCAUGAGUCAGAUCAUGUUUGUACUCAAGCAUGACAAAAUGCAUUUCUUUCAGAUCCUAACCACCUCAUCACCUCCCUGACCUGAGCCAUCUCUCACCUUAUUAACAAACAUUUCCCACUCUCUCCCCGAUUAAAUCAUCCUUAAUCGCAUGCAUACAUGAUCUGACCCUCUCUGAUGCAUCAUGGGGUUUAUCAGACUGAUCCUCCCGAUCAGUUUAUCAGUCGGUACCGUUGCUGGUCCUGGAGGGAUGAGGGUCAAUGCUCCGGAGAGGACGGCAGGCGUCUCCUCCGAUUUCAAUCAAAACAAAAGGAUUAUACAUUCCACUCAUCAUGAAAGGAUUGAAUGGAAGUAACUUAAAAAAACAAUGCAUUCAAAGCCAUGAACUCAGACAUAAGCAACCACCCACUGGGUUUAUCGGAGUGAUUGGAUAGUGGCGGCCGUAUCUUUUAAUACAGCUAGGGCUGUGUUAAUCACGUUCGGUUUUUAUUUUAACUCAGACUACACAUAAAACAACCCAUGAGUCAGGCUGAUCUAGCAGCACCCAAACACAACAACCCUCCCGGCUCCCCUCGUACCGCGCACAGACCGCCCGUGGCGGGCGGCAGAGUUCACUGGCUAUCGAUGUGGGGUCUGAGCAGCGACGAGCGAGAGCUUAGCCAGGCUAAACACCAUCUGUCCUGCCGCUCCCCUGUGCCAGCGGACUGUCUGCGCUCUAAUCCGCCGCAAGCUGCCGAGACGCGGGGCCAAGGGCCCGUCUCGUCCAACACGCCCUGGCUCCGCGCCGCACACCCGACACCGGACCUCGGCGCGGCUCUCGCACCGGAAAGGCUUUCAGGACGGCUCAAACUGGACAGCCCAACGUUGUGAAACAAGGAUGUUAUAGUGGGACCUAGACGUUCACUCACACACACGAGCACGCACGCACGAACGCACACACACACACGCAUAAGCACAAGCACACAGACACAAAAAACAAAAAAAAGCCAACACCCAACUACGCACGCACGCACACGCACACACAUACAGGAUGUGUUCCUGAGUUUGUCAAUAAGUUGAUCUCUUUAUUCAGUGUGGUGUUAAGUGCCUGACCUGCUGUUUGUUGGAUGCCUCUAUGGUCUGUGGAAACAGUGCAAGAGCGACUGCUGAAUUGCGGUACCUGUCAUUAAGGAGCAGGCUCGCCUUGCUUUAGGUCAUACUUGUCAUCCACAGACAGCCGCGGUUUAUAUCACCACAUUUUAGGAUAUUGCCAAGAUCCUUGGAAUCUUUACUUCAGUCGUUGAUUCCACUGAACUAGAAGAAUAAACAUUUAUUUCAGAUGAAUUGAAUGAUGAAUUGUAGCAAAAAAAUUAUUCAUGGACCACAGUUGCUCAGAACUAUAAUUGAUUGUAGAUAAUUCUAAAAGGCUUCAAUAAAUUGCCGCUUUUGCUCUUGAAAUAAAGUAAUGAUAAUACGAUACAUAUCCUAUAUUAGUUUACCAGAUGUAGUUCAACUUAAAGCACAGCAGAGAGUGCUGCUGCCUACAAAACAAGCCGCCAGCCUGUGAAAACCUCUCCUUGGCCUGGAGGCUUUCGCUGAGUUUGUUUUGGUGGGGUAUUACUGGUCUCUACAACUGCAACAAAAUGGUCACAAACAUGUAUUCCUCCGAUAAGCUUUUCAAACAAGAAAAAUAAAUACACAGAUGAAUAAAUAUAAACGCCUUUAAGUAGGCUAUAAUUAUCUCCAAUGUUUUUCUCGAACUCCUUACCUCACGUCUGUCAUUGCUUUGCGUAUUAACUUGGCUGAUACUUGUGCCAUGAUGACACAACUGAUUGGGUCUUAUAGUGAACGGCAGCGCCCGGUAAUCUCAGUAGGGUCACAGGCACAGCAUUGACCUGUGCCGGGGGCUGUGUGGUUAAACUCAAGGAUGUACUCACACCGCACCGAUGCCUGCUGCGUGCAGGUUAUGUCAUCCGUCUACAAGCCGGAGCAGAGGACGCGUAAUUCAGGUGGGAGGGAGGGAGGGGGGGAUACAUAAUAUGUAUCUUACAUAACGCGUGUCGCUGAUGACUCACGCGUGGUUCUUCCAUGGGCGUGUGAGACGAUUCCCGGGCAGGUUUACCGCAGGGGGCCGAGGGUGGCUGUCCGUCCGGCCGCCCUCCCGGUGAACCUAUUAGGGCUCCGCCCACCGCGUUCCUCACGUCCCGUCGGCGUGACGCAGGUGCUGACACGGACUUAAUCAUGAUUGGGUUCUGAUGUUGCAAUAAUGCGUUCGACCCGCAGGGACAGGAAAUGAAGAGGAACAGACCUGGGACGGAAACACUAUCCCUAGGCUGAUGUCACAAGCACAUCGUUCACGGAUCACGUUGCUCAAUAAUACCCCCGGGAUAUGAGACCAGUUGCUCAGCCAGGGGGAGGAUGCGGUUUGAUUCAUUCAGGGCUGUCGGUUUGUGUGUGUGUGUGUGUGUGUGUGUGUGUGUGUGUGUGUGUGUGUGUGUGUGUGUGUGUGUGUGUGUGUGUGUGUGUGUGUGUGCGUCUGUGCGUGUGUUUGUGCGUGUGUGAGUAAUCAUCAUUUACCAUGGUAAAUAAUGUA